GCCCUUGUGGUGCAGUGGUAGCACGCUUCGCUCUUGUGAAUCGGGCAACUUGUGUAUAGUCCAUGCGGCAAGUUGUCAGGUUCAGUGUCGAAGAGGUCGGGGGUUCAAUUCCUCCUGGGGGCA
Molecule: non-coding RNA, 123 nt
Organism: Lasiosphaeria hispida
Lineage: Eukaryota; Fungi; Ascomycota; Sordariomycetes; Sordariales; Lasiosphaeriaceae
Source: the annotation of a GenBank genome assembly